AGAGUUUGAUCCUGGCUCAGGAUGAACGCUAGCGGCAGGCCUAAUACAUGCAAGUCGUACGGUAAAGUCCCCCUUCGGGGGAUGAGAGUGGCGGACGGGUGCGUAACGCGUAUGCAACCAACCCCCGACGGGCGGACAGCCGGUGGAAACGCCGGAUAAUACGCCAUGCGACCGACCAGGGGCAUCCCUAGUCGGCCAAAGCCUCGGCGGUCGGGGACGGACAUGCGUGCCAUUAGGUAGUCGGCGGGGUGAGGGCCCACCGAGCCUACGAUGGCUAGGGGAUCUGAGAGGACGGUCCCCCACACUGGUACUGAGACACGGACCAGACUCCUGCGGGAGGCAGCAGUAAGGGAUAUUGGGCAAUGGGCGCAAGCCUGACCCAGCCAUGCCGCGUGAGGGAAUGAGGCCCUACGGGUCGUGAACCUCUUUUACUCGGGGACAAGGACGGCGUCGCGAACGCUGUUUGAGGGUACCGAGGGAAUAAGCCACGGCUAACUACGUGCC
RNAcentral lists this ribosomal RNA (504 nucleotides) under uncultured bacterium. Its description in RNAcentral is "bacterial SSU rRNA". It matches the Rfam family "Bacterial small subunit ribosomal RNA", at positions 8 to 509 of the family's 1533-position model. The record is from RNAcentral.